RNAcentral lists this ribosomal RNA (804 nucleotides) under uncultured bacterium. RNAcentral describes it as "bacterial SSU rRNA". It matches the Rfam family "Bacterial small subunit ribosomal RNA", at positions 8 to 770 of the family's 1533-position model. The record is from RNAcentral.
AGAGUUUGAUUCUGGCUCAGGAUGAACGCUGGCGGCGUGCUUCACACAUGCAAGUCGAACGGAUCUCUAUAACGGAGGCCUUCGGGUCGAAGUUAUAGUAGGUUAGUGGCGGACGGGUGAGUAACGCGUGGGUAAUCUGCCCUUAAGUCGGGGAUAACUCCGAGAAAUCGGAGCUAAUACCGGAUAAUCUCAAUGGAACGAAAGUUCUGUUGAGCAAAGGUGGCCUCUAUAUAUAAGCUACCGUUUAAGGAUGAGCCCGCGUUCCAUUAGCUAGUUGGUAAGGUAACGGCUUACCAAGGCGACGAUGGAUAGCCGGCCUGAGAGGGUGUACGGCCACACUGGGACUGAGACACGGCCCAGACUCCUACGGGAGGCAGCAGUGGGGAAUUUUGCCCAAUGGGGGGAACCCUGAGGCAGCGACGCCGCGUGAGUGACGAAGAUUUUCGGAUCGUAAAACUCUGUCCUUGGAGAAGAACUGUUUAAAGGCAAAUAGUCUUUUAACGUGACGGUAUCCUUGGAGGAAGCCCUGGCUAACUACGUGCCAGCAGCCGCGGUAAUACGUAGAGGGCGAGCGUUGUCCGGAAUUAUUGGGCGUAAAGGGCGCGUAGGUGGUUUUGUGUGUCCAAUGUGAAAGGCGUCGGCUUAACCGGCGAAUUGCGUUGGAAACUACAGAACUUGAGUGCAGGAGAGGGGAGUGGAAUUCCUGGUGUAGCGGUGGAAUGCGUAGAUACCAGGAGGAACACCGGUGGCGAAGGCGGCUCCCUGGACUGUAACUGACACUGAGGCGCGAAAGCGUGGGUAGCG